This 496-nucleotide ribosomal RNA is filed under the name uncultured bacterium. RNAcentral describes it as "partial 16S ribosomal RNA". It matches the Rfam family "Bacterial small subunit ribosomal RNA", at positions 28 to 506 of the family's 1533-position model. The record is from RNAcentral.
GAUGAACGCUGGCGGCGUGCCUAAUACAUGCAAGUCGAGCGAACAGACGAGGAGCUUGCUCCUCUGACGUUAGCGGCGGACGGGUGAGUAACACGUGGAUAACCUACCUAUAAGACUGGGAUAACUUCGGGAAACCGGAGCUAAUACCGGAUAAUAUAUUGAACCGCAUGGUUCAAUAGUGAAAGACGGUUUUGCUGUCACUUAUAGAUGGAUCCGCGCCGCAUUAGCUAGUUGGUAAGGUAACGGCUUACCAAGGCAACGAUGCGUAGCCGACCUGAGAGGGUGAUCGGCCACACUGGAACUGAGACACGGUCCAGACUCCUACGGGAGGCAGCAGUAGGGAAUCCUCCGCAAUGGGCGAAAGCUUGACGGAGCAACGCCGCGUGAGUGAUGAAGGUCUGCGGAUCGUAAAACUCUGUUAUUAGGGAAGAACAAAUGUGUAAGUAACGAUGCACGUCUUGACGGUACCUAAUCAGAAAGCCACGGCGAACUACGG